CAGUCGAACGGAAGUUUAAGCAAUUAAACUUUAGUGGCGAACGGGUGAGUAACGCGUAAGCAAUCUGCCCCUAAGACGAGGAUAACAGUUGGAAACGACUGCUAAGACUGGAUAGGAGAUAAGAAGGCAUCUUUUUAUUUUUAAAAGACCUAGCAAUAGGUAUGCUUAGGGAAGAGCUUGCGUCACAUUAGUUAGUUGGUGGGGUAAUGGCCUACCAAGACGAUGAUGUGUAGCCGGGCUGAGAGGUCGAACGGCCACAUUGGGACUGAGACACGGCCCAAACUCCUACGGGAGGCAGCAGUAAGGAAUUUUCGGCAAUGGAGGAAACUCUGACCGAGCAAUGCCGCGUGAACGAUGAAGUAUUUCGGUACGUAAAGUUCUUUUAUUAGGGAAGAAAAGAUGGUGGAAAAACCAUUAUGACGGUACCUAAUGAAUAAGCCCCGGCUAACUAUGUGCCAGCAGCCGCGGUAAUACAUAGGGGGCAAGCGUUAUCCGGAAUUAUUGGGCGUAAAGGGUGCGUAGGCGGUUAAAUAAGUUUAUGGUCUAAGUGCAACGCUCAACGUUGUGAUGCUAUAAAAACUGUUUAGCUAGAGUUGGAUAGAGGCAAGUGGAAUUCCGUGUGUAGUGGUAAAAUGCGUAAAUAUACGGAGGAACACCAGAAGCGAAGGCGGCUUGCUGGGUCUUAACUGACGCUGAGGCACGAAAGCGUGGGGAGCAAACAGGAUUAGAUACCCUGGUAGUCCACGCCCUAAACGAUGAGUACUAAACGUUGGAUAAAACCAGUGUUGAAGUUAACACAUUAAGUACUCCGCCUGAGUAGUACGUACGCAAGUAUGAAACUUAAAGGAAUUGACGGGACUCCGCACAAGCGGUGGAUCAUGUUGUUUAAUUCGAAGGUACCCGAAAAACCUCACCAGGUCUUGACAUGCUUUUGCAAAGCUGUAGAAAUACAGUGGAGGUUAUCAGAAGCACAGGUGGUGCAUGGUUGUCGUCAGCUCGUGUCGUGAGAUGUUGGGUUAAGUCCCGCAACGAGCGCAACCCUUGUUGUUAAUUGCCAUCAUUAAGUUGGGGACUUUAGCAAGACUGCCAAUGAUAAAUUGGAGGAAGGUGGGGACGACGUCAAAUCAUCAUGCCCCUUAUGACCC
RNAcentral lists this ribosomal RNA (1145 nucleotides) under 'Rubus fruticosus' phytoplasma Stolbur-Rubus-Bg. RNAcentral describes it as "bacterial SSU rRNA". It matches the Rfam family "Bacterial small subunit ribosomal RNA", at positions 59 to 1210 of the family's 1533-position model. Lineage: Bacteria; Bacillati; Mycoplasmatota; Mollicutes; Acholeplasmatales; Acholeplasmataceae. The record is from RNAcentral.